GAUGAAGAACGUAGCGAAAUGCGAUAAGUAAUGCGAAUUGCAGAAUUCAGUGAAUCAUCGAAUCUUUUAACGCACCUUGCGCCCUUUGGCAUUCCGAAGGGCAUGCCUGUUUGAGUAUCAUGAACACCUCAACUCUUCAUGGUUUUCCAUGAUGAGCUUGGACUUUGGGGGUCUUGCUGGCCUGCGGUCGGCUCCUCUCAAAUGAAUCAGCUUACCAGUGUUUGGUGGGCAUCACAGGUGUGAUAACUAUCUGCGCUUGUGGUUUUCCACCAAGUAACCUUCAGCAGUGGAGGUUCACUGGAGCUCACAGACGUCUCUCCUCAGUGAGGACAGCCCUUUGAAUGUUUGAUCUCAAAUCAGGUAGGACUACCCGCUGAACUUAAGCAUAUCAAUAAGUGGAGGA
This 403-nucleotide unclassified non-coding RNA is filed under the name soil metagenome. Its description in RNAcentral is "partial contains 5.8S ribosomal RNA, internal transcribed spacer 2, and large subunit ribosomal RNA". The stretch from base 1 to 120 matches the Rfam family "5.8S ribosomal RNA", at positions 35 to 154 of the family's 154-position model. The record is from RNAcentral.